Bos taurus (domestic cattle) is the source of this 73-nucleotide non-coding RNA. NCBI's taxonomy places the organism in Eukaryota, Metazoa, Chordata, Mammalia, Artiodactyla, Bovidae. The record is from Rfam.
UCCCUGGUGAUCCAGUGGCUAAGACUCUGCACUCCCAAUGCGGAGGGCCUGGGUUCAAUCCCUGGUCAGGGAA